UACAGAGGGUGCGAGCGUUGUUCGGAAUCACUGGGCGUAAAGCGCACGUAGGCGGCUAUUUAAGUCAGGGGUGAAAUCCUGGAGCUCAACUCCAGAACUGCCUUUGAUACUGAGAAGCUUGAGUCCGGGAGAGGUGAGUGGAACUGCGAGUGUAGAGGUGAAAUUCGUAGAUAUUCGCAAGAACACCAGUGGCGAAGGCGGCUCACUGGCCCGGUACUGACGCUGAGGUGCGAAAGCGUGGGGAGCAAACAGG
Molecule: ribosomal RNA, 253 nt
Filed under: uncultured bacterium
Lineage: Bacteria
Description: partial 16S ribosomal RNA
Rfam family: Bacterial small subunit ribosomal RNA
Source: RNAcentral